Molecule: long non-coding RNA, 386 nt
Filed under: Trifolium pratense (red clover)
Lineage: Eukaryota; Viridiplantae; Streptophyta; Magnoliopsida; Fabales; Fabaceae
Description: long non-coding RNA (TPRA_LNC010521)
Source: RNAcentral
CUGAAACGUAAUUCUUUACGCCUGGGGCGGAAAUUUUGUGCCUCAGGCGGAAAACGUUAUUUUUGAUCAGUUUUAUAAAAGGGAAACAUCAGAUCUGGAUCAUUAUCGAAUUUUUGACACUGAGAACAGCAUUUGGAGCGAUUGUGGAGGAUCAAGAGCGACCAAGCAAGGAUUCAAGUGUGGAAACACAUCAAGAUUCUUCUUGUAAUUAUGCUUUCUUUCAUUUUAAUUGAUGUAAUUUCUGAAUUUGCAAUGUCUAGCUAAAUUCUCAUGAUUGGUCCUUAGGUGAUUCUAAUUACUUUUGAUCUUGAACUAUGUGAUUGUCAUAUGAUAUGAGUAAUGAAUUACGAAGUUAGUUUCUAUUGAUUGUUCUUUGUGCUUAAUGC